This 29-nucleotide non-coding RNA is filed under the name Mus musculus (house mouse). The record is from RNAcentral. Lineage: Eukaryota; Metazoa; Chordata; Mammalia; Rodentia; Muridae.
UAACAUGAGUGCAUCCUGUGGUAGCAGCA